AAUAAGUGCAGCCAUGAGUUUCCGUAUCCAAUUUUGAGUGUCUGUCUUAUUUGAAAUUUUUUUAUAAUUAGCAUUUUUGUUGUUAUAAGAUGAUAAAAUAUGAAUAGUGCUUUACUCAUGAAUUAUGUUUUAAAUUUUUUUUAAAAAAAAUCAAAUAAGACGAAUGGUCAAAGUUAAACGCGAAAAAACAUGACUGCACUUAUU
Non-coding RNA from Oryza glumipatula, 204 nucleotides. The record is from Rfam. NCBI's taxonomy places the organism in Eukaryota, Viridiplantae, Streptophyta, Magnoliopsida, Poales, Poaceae.